This 1977-nucleotide long non-coding RNA is filed under the name Nicotiana tabacum (common tobacco). RNAcentral's name for it is "long non-coding RNA (NTAB_LNC011524)". Lineage: Eukaryota; Viridiplantae; Streptophyta; Magnoliopsida; Solanales; Solanaceae. The record is from RNAcentral.
UCCAAACAUCGAGAUAUGAAAAUCACAUUACUGGAUCAAAAUGUUGCAUUUAAUUCUAUAUUUUGAAACAGUAAUAUUAACUUGAAUUGAAUUAACUGAAUAGUGCACUCAUGGAUUGAGAUAUACUACUCAAUAGAGGAAGGUUCACUUAAUUACAAAUAGAGACCAAAAGAAACUACUGAAAAUAAAAACAGGCUAUAACAUUGGAACUAAUUAAUUAUGAAUCCCAAUGUCAUUAUAAGAUGAAUUCCACAAUCUGGCAGCUCGUACAAUAACACAUGGAAUAGCUGAACGACUCACAUGGCUUCAAUAGUGUUCUAAAUCUUCCAAGCAAAACCUCCAAUACAAACAGAUUUAAAUGAAAUUCAAACAGCCUUCAUAGAUUCAUGAAAAACAACAAAAAGAUUUUUCUAAAUCAUUCAAAUCCAUCAAUAGCCUAUCAGCCAACUCAAAAUCUCAAGUGGAGAAAAACACAUUCAACAUUAAACAUCGAUCAAGAACAAGAGAAAAGCAACAGAACUUAAACUUUGGCAAAACGGCACCUAAUCAAUAUGAGAAUCAGCAUAUAUUCAACAAAAUUUCAUCCAUGAUUCAAAAUAAGAGAAUGAGCUUAGGAUUUACAUACCUCAAGCAAAGAAACAAAAGAAAGUGACCAAAUAAAGGUCAGGAAUCCAAAGAAAACAAGCUUAGCUACUAAUGGAGAGACAACAAACAGAGAAAACCAAGCUUUGGAACUAGAGCUCAAACACAGCCAAACAAGAGCAGCAACAACAAAGAUAGAAACAGCCCCAAAAGAAAACUCAGCUUGAUGGAAUUUUUGAGUGUUUUCCUCAGUCUCAAAAUCAGUCUCAAAAAUGAAGAAAAAGGAGUCUGAAUUUCAGAGGAUUUUUUUUCGUGUCCGAGAAUGUGAGGAAGAGUCCCUUUUUUAUAGAAUAUGCAUAUGCUCUAUGAGAUAAAGCCUCGAAAAGAAUUUGUCACCUGAUUUUAAGGAAUAAGGCAUCUUUUCCUAACCAAUUUUUUGACAGUUGUUUUUUUUAGAAGCUUCUCUCAUAACAGAAAAAUUCUUUUUAUUCAUACCACUGAAUUCUCUCAAAUCUUGCAAUACUUUACUGAAAUCGGUCUGGGCCUUUGGCCAAUAGGCCCAUUUCCUAUACUCGGAUCUCACAUUUAAUGGGCCUGCAUAUCAAGCAGGUCAGGCCCAAUUAAACAAAACAUAUGCUGACAGUUUUGGCCACCCCACACUCAAGCAAACAUCAAAAUUAACUAAUAAAAAAAAAACUCAUGACAAAUUGCAAUUAAAGCCUAAAUAAAUUAAGUCUAACAAAUGAAUGUUAAUUAAUCCUACUUAUCAAACAAAACAUGCUUUAGCCAGUGACAAAUAAAAAACAAAUCACAGAAAAGAGGAAGAGAAGUAUACCAAUUCUAAUCUAUGGUUGGCUAAUGACACUUGAUCAUUUCCGGCCACCAAGGGUCAUUGUGAUAUGAACACUGGCUAUGGUGCAAUUCCAUCCAGUAUUACAUGCCACAAUGGCUCAUGCACGCCGGAAUAGAGGCAGAAAAAUCCGACGACUUCGACCUAAAGGGCAGAGGAAGUCGCAACUCGACUCUAAACCAACGUCAAAUGACGCCUGAGUCACAAACCAUUGGUUGAUGCAAGCUUCGAUCUCAAACGGACUAAAAACUAUAAGAAAACCGGAAAGGGAAAGAAACAAAUUUCUUUUUUAGAUUUGAAAUUCGGGGGUCUUGGUGAGGAUUUUGAGGAAGCUAACAGGAGAUUAGUGAUGAGGGGAGGUUGAGGAUUAUAGGGUGAAGGUUUGGGCGUGAUUGGAGGUUGUUUGGUGGCGGCCGCCGGCGAAUGAGGUUUGGGAUCCUAUGGCGGCUAGGGUUUUGGGAGAGGAGGUGAGGAAGAUGAAUAAAGAGGGAUUUGGGGUUUGGGGGGUUCUAUUCCGACAUUUUUAAGGGAAGGAGAUGGUUAAU